UAGCNNGAUCAGCUAGCAUNGACGCNNNNCGACUAGCAUAGCUAGCAUCGACUACAUCGCAUAUGACUAGCAUCCCGCAUCGACCCCUAGCUAGCAUCGAUCUAAUCUUCCGCAAUUCCUCUAGCGACACAGCUAGCUACGCGCGUGAGCUAGCACGACCCUCGAUCAGCUAAACUGCUAGCAGCAGCAUCUAUCAAAUGGACACGACGAUCUACACACUCUGNNGCCGGGCAGCCGCGGUAAUACAGAGNGCCGGCAGCGUUAAUGGAAUCACUGGGCUUAAAGCGUGCGUAGGCGGGCGUGCAAGCUUUCUUGUGAAAGCCCGGGGCUCAACCGGGAAUUGCUUGGUGAACUCCAAUGUCUUGAGGCAGGAAGAGGUGGUCGGAACCGAUAGGUGGAGCGGUGAAUUAUGCUUAGAUACUACCGGAACGCCAAAAGGAAGUCAGGCCACUGGGCCUGUUCUGACCCCUGAGGCACGAAAGCGGGGGUAGCGAACGGGAUUAGAAACCCCGGUAGUCCCCGCCGUAAACGAUGCGCACUAGGCCGGGAGGUUUGACGCCUCCCGGCCGGAAGCAAAAGUGAUAAGUGCGCCGCCUGGAAGUACGGUUCGCAAGGCUAAAACUCAAAGGGAAUUGACGGGGCCUCACACAAGCGGUGGAGGCAUGUGGCUAAAAUUCGAAGCAAAACGAAGAACCUUACCCAGGUUUGACAUGCCCGAUCACGGGAUGAAGUGGGCCACACCCGCAGGCGGACGUAGGUGCCGCAUGGCGGUCGUCAGCUCGUGCGUGAGUGUCGGUAAGUCCUCAACGCGACUAGCGAUCGAUCCCGAAGAAGCAUCGACGAUC
RNAcentral lists this ribosomal RNA (845 nucleotides) under uncultured Planctomycetota bacterium. RNAcentral describes it as "bacterial SSU rRNA". The stretch from base 145 to 845 matches the Rfam family "Bacterial small subunit ribosomal RNA", at positions 1 to 1130 of the family's 1533-position model. Lineage: Bacteria; Pseudomonadati; Planctomycetota. The record is from RNAcentral.